GACGAACGCUGGCGGCGUGCUUAACACAUGCAAGUCGAACGAAGAGCGAUGGAAGCUUGCUUCUAUCAAUCUUAGUGGCGAACGGGUGAGUAACGCGUAAUCAACCUGCCCUUCAGAGGGGGACAACAGUUGGAAACGACUGCUAAUACCGCAUACGAUCUAAUCUCGGCAUCGAGGAUAGAUGAAAGGUGGCCUCUACAUGUAAGCUAUCACUGAAGGAGGGGAUUGCGUCUGAUUAGCUAGUUGGAGGGGUAACGGCCCACCAAGGCGAUGAUCAGUAACCGGUCUGAGAGGAUGAACGGCCACAUUGGGACUGAGACACGGCCCAGACUCCUACGGGGGGCAGCAGUGGGGAAUCUUCCGCAAUGGACGAAAGUCUGACGGAGCAACGCCGCGUGAGUGAUGACGGCCUUCGGGUUGUAAAGCUCUGUUAAUCGGGACGAAAGGCCUUCUUGCGAAUAGUGAGAAGGAUUGACGGUACCGGAAUAGAAAGCCACGGCUAACUACGUG
RNAcentral lists this ribosomal RNA (510 nucleotides) under uncultured bacterium. RNAcentral's name for it is "partial 16S ribosomal RNA". It matches the Rfam family "Bacterial small subunit ribosomal RNA", at positions 28 to 507 of the family's 1533-position model. The record is from RNAcentral.